AACGUAGGGGGCUAGCGUUAUCCGGAAUCAUUGGGCGUAAAGGGUGCGUAGGCGGUCUUUUAAGCGCGAGGUUUAAGGCUACGGCUUAACCGUAGUUCGCCUUGCGAACUGGAGGACUUGAGUGCUGGAGAGGAAAGCGGAAUUCCUAGUGUAGCGGUGAAAUGCGUAGAUAUUAGGAGGAACACCAGUGGCGAAGGCGGCUUUCUGGACAGUAACUGACGCUGAGGCACGAAAGCGUGGGGAGCAAACAGGAUUAGAUACCCGCGUAGUCCCUGAGCGGGCUGG
RNAcentral lists this ribosomal RNA (285 nucleotides) under uncultured prokaryote. Its description in RNAcentral is "partial 16S ribosomal RNA". It matches the Rfam family "Bacterial small subunit ribosomal RNA", at positions 524 to 819 of the family's 1533-position model. The record is from RNAcentral.